UAGCUCAGUCGGUUAGAGCAUGGUGCUGAUAACACCAAGGUCGCGGGUUCGAUCCCCGU
RNAcentral lists this transfer RNA (59 nucleotides) under Apaloderma vittatum (bar-tailed trogon). It matches the Rfam family "tRNA", at positions 8 to 63 of the family's 71-position model. Rfam says of the family: Transfer RNA (tRNA) molecules are approximately 80 nucleotides in length. Their secondary structure includes four short double-helical elements and three loops (D, anti-codon, and T loops). The record is from Rfam by way of RNAcentral. Lineage: Eukaryota; Metazoa; Chordata; Aves; Trogoniformes; Trogonidae.